RNAcentral lists this ribosomal RNA (755 nucleotides) under uncultured fungus. RNAcentral describes it as "eukaryotic LSU rRNA". The stretch from base 1 to 241 matches the Rfam family "Eukaryotic small subunit ribosomal RNA", at positions 1593 to 1831 of the family's 1831-position model. The record is from RNAcentral. Lineage: Eukaryota; Fungi.
UUGCUCUUCAACGAGGAAUGCCUAGUAAGCGCAUGUCAUCAGCAUGCGUUGAUUACGUCCCUGCCCUUUGUACACACCGCCCGUCGCUACUACCGAUUGAAUGGCUCAGUGAGGCCUUCGGACUGGCUCAGGGAGGUUGGCAACGACCACCCCGAGCCGGAAAGUUCGUCAAACUCGGUCAUUUAGAGGAAGUAAAAGUCGUAACAAGGUUUCCGUAGGUGAACCUGCGGAAGGAUCAUUAUCGUUGGGCUCCUGCCCAUUCGAGAUAACACCCUUGCCUUUUUGAGUACCUUUUCGUUUCCUCGGCAGGCACGCCUGCCAACGGGGACCCUUCAAAACGCUUUGUAAUACCUGUCAUUGUCUGAUAUAACAAGCAAAAAUCAAAACUUUCAACAACGGAUCUCUUGGUUCUGGCAUCGAUGAAGAACGCAGCGAAAUGCGAUAAGUAGUGUGAAUUGCAGAAUUCAGUGAAUCAUCGAAUCUUUGAACGCACAUUGCGCCCUUUAGUAUUCCUUAGGGCAUGCCUGUUCGAGCGUCAUUUAAACCUUCAAGCUCAGCUUGGUGAUGGGUGACUGUCCCCUCCCUUCGCGGGGGGACUCGCCUCAAAAACAUUGGCGGCCGGUACAUUGGCUUCGAGCGCAGCAGAAACGCGGUCUCGAGCCCGGUGGAUCGGCUCCCAUAAGCCUCAUUCUUUAUUUUGACCUCGGAUCAGGUAGGGAUACCCGCUGAACUUAAGCAUAUCAAUAAGCGGAGGA